AGUGUCUCUGGGGCAACGGGCCUCAUUCGGGGACAAGAGGCUAGGAAGCAAUGGAAGCUCUCCUGGGCAGGUCUGGGUGCCAGGGGCAGUCCCGGGCAGAAAAGGAGGCUCUUCCAGGGGCCCAUCUCCGGGGUGCCGGCCGCUUGCUCCCCGGGGGUACCCGCGGCCCUGACCUUCCCGAACCCUUGGCAGCCCCCACAGAGGAAGAGGACGGCACCCGCCGCCCCGCACAGCCCGGGGAAGCUUAAGGGCCAGAAAGUGGACCAUCCGGAGGCCGUCAGCGCGGGACCUGGACCCUGCCCACCCCCCGCCCGUCCUGCCCCCCAUCCUGCCCGGAUCCUGCGGGUGUGCCUGGACCCUGACCCCCCCAUCCUGGCCCCGAGCCUGCGGGUGUACCUGGACCCUGGGACCCGCCAUCCGGCCCCCCCAUCCUGGCCCGGGCCUGCGGGUGUACCUGGACCCUGGGACCCCCCAUCCUGCCCCCCCAUCCUGGCCCCGAGCCUGCGGGUGUACCUGGACCCUGCCCACCCCCCGCCCCGUCCUGCCCCCCAUCCUGCCCGGAGCCUGCGGGUGUACCUGGACCCUGACCCCCUCCCCCCCGCCCCAUCCUGGCCCCCAGCCUGCGGGUGUACCUGGACAUUGGGGCCCUCCAUCCUGCCCCCCCAUCCUGGCCCCGGGCCUGCGGGUGUACCUGGACCCUGCCCACCCCCCGCCCCGUCCUGCCCCCCAUCCUGCCCGGAGCCUGCGGGUGUACCUGGACCCUGCCCUCCACCCUGCCCCAUCCUGGCCCCGAGCCUGCGGGUGUACCUCGACCCUGGGGCCCCCCAUCCUGCCCCCCAUCCUGGCCCCGGGCCUGUGGCUGUGCGGACUCCGCAUCCCCGCAUCCCCGCUCCCCCCGCUCCCGCGCAGCCUUUCAGUGCCCCCCGCGCCCCCUGCGCGCAGCCCCGCCCCGCCCCCGCGCCCCACCUGAGGUCCCCUAACGAGGCUCCAGGGCUGUUUGGAGUUUCCAGAAACCGUCCCCGGAGCUUCCUUUGGGCCAGAAGCCCAGCGGGGCCAGGGCGGCGGCGGCCCGGGAGGCGCGGGAGCAAGGGCCUCGGGGCGCCCCGCGGGGCCCCCCCCGCCUCGGUGCUUGCGGCGUUAGGUCCCGUUCUGGGCGGAAGGGGGGCUGCCUGGACAUUUUUCCAAGAAAAAAACUGGGAAUCGUCCAGACCUCGAGCCCCCGCCCCCCGCACGUGGGAGCCCCGCGCCGCGGAGCUCGGAGCCGGGAGGGUCCCCAAGCGGGUCCCCGGGACUCGCGCGCCCGCCCCGUCCCCUCGCGGCCCCUGCCCAGGCCCCGGCCCGCCCGGAGGGAGCGCCCCCCCCACCCCCCGCCCCCGCCCCCGCGCUGGCCCCGGGUGCACGGACCCCCCCGGGCAGCGGGCGGAGGAGGUGCCGCGGCCCAGGCGCCCAGACCGCGGAGGCCCGAGCCCGCAGCGGGGGACGUGGCCGGGCGGGGGGGGGGGGGGCACGGCUCUGCUCGCGGACCCGGGGGGGAGGUCGGGGCCGGUCCCGGGGCGGCGGGGAGGCUCCUCCCGCUGGGCUGCGGGCGCCGGGCGCACGGAGGAGGCGCGGGGGGCGCGGGGCGCGGGGGGCGCGGGCGGGGGGCAGGGGGGCAGGGGGGCAGGGGGCAGGGGGCAGGGGGCCCCUACCUUGCAGGCGGGCGGACGGCGGCCGCGCGCCCCUGGCGGGGCGGCCGGGCGGAGAGUCAGGACGGAGGGAGGCGGCUGCAGGCGCGGUGGGCGGGCCGGCGUCCCCGCCGAGAGGACACUCCCAUCCCGCGGCUGCGGGGGGCGCCGGGGCCGGGGCCGGGGCCGGGGCGGGGGCGGGGGCGGGGGCGGGGGCUCGCGGCGGGGCCGGGCCGGGCCGGGCGCACGUGCGCUUGCUCCUUGCGGCGCUCCCUGGGGAGGGCGCGGUGAGCAGUGCCCCUCCUUGGGAGGCUCCGAGCGCCUUUCGGGAUUGCAGGGCUCGUGGGGUCCUCCGCGGUCUGGCGACGCUCCCCGGAGCCGCAGCCCGCGGACGCCGAGCCCGACCUCGCUCCCAUCCCGGGACCCCGGUGAGGGCAGCCCCGGGCGCGGGGCGAGUCAGGGCGGCGGCCCCUCCCCGCGACGGAGCCUCCACCUGUGA
RNAcentral lists this long non-coding RNA (2163 nucleotides) under Canis lupus familiaris (dog). RNAcentral's name for it is "lncRNA (ENSCAFG00030019885.1)". Lineage: Eukaryota; Metazoa; Chordata; Mammalia; Carnivora; Canidae. The record is from RNAcentral.